GGCAUGGUGGCUUAAUGGUUAGCACAUUUGCCUUGUGGGUCGGGGGUUCAAAUCCCGCCUCUGCCC
Molecule: non-coding RNA, 66 nt
Organism: Pangasius djambal
Lineage: Eukaryota; Metazoa; Chordata; Actinopteri; Siluriformes; Pangasiidae
Source: the annotation of a GenBank genome assembly